CAUCAGACUGGGGUGAAAGUGUAGGACCACUGCACUCACUGACUCACAGCAGUGAUCUCCUGGCAAGAUAGACACAGUCAGCACUCCAGCAUGGAGUGGGAAGGGGAUUCAUGAAAUUCCACCUACUGUUGAGGAGCAGCAGCCUGACAAAGAAGCCCUUUAGCUCACUCAUCAUGAGGUUAGAGGGGAGGAGCAGAACACCAAGAAUCAAACCAUGGAGCCUGAACCACGCCUGGACCUGAUUUAGGUAAUGAGUCAUUGGACUUCAAGCUGAUGCUAUAAUAGAGGCCUGAGAGGAAGGAAGAAAUGAAUACCGUAUGGCUUCCAAGGCUGUUGUGAGACACAAUGCAGCUUUGUCUUGGAGUUCUGAGCUUAUGGCUGCCGCCUGAGAAAUCUGAUUACUCUGUGGUUACCAUGUGUUGUGGAAGCCAAUCACUGUGGGGAGCCACAAGUAGUUUGUUUUAACAGCAUGGGAAGUCUCAUUCAUACUUCUUCACCCUACUCCACUUUUUGGUUGCUGCAUCAAAAUUCCCGAGACUGGAUAAUUUAUAAGGAAAAGUCUACUUCAUUGUUCUGGAAACAAGAAUGGUGCAGCGAUAAAGGAAGGAUAAGUCUGUAAACCUUUUGCUGUGUUGGAAAUAAGAAGCAUGCAGAAAACUGAAACAGUUCAAUAAGAAGGUGAAAACUCAGAACUUACAAUAGACUUUUCGUGUGCCCUUGAAAUGAUAUUAUAAUGAAAACUUGUAAAGGAUUCAAGAUCCCUUUAAUCAACUCCCUCCUUGUUCCUCUGUGUUCUAGAGUUGCUUGACUAUAGUUGUCUAAAUCUACACACAUCACUCUGCACAGAGCAGAAAUUUGAAAAGGAAUUUGUAGUCUGUCAUGGCUGACUAUAUGUUUUCUGUGUCCAUUUAUGAACCCACACCUUUCAGAGACCAAUAGGUUAGUGGAAACCCAUCUAGUUCUUGUUAAUUUUGAUGAAUGUCAUCUAGAAUAUUCAAGAGAUAUUUGGUCUGGGAUUCAGAGACCUAAGACUUUUACAGAAGUAUAAAUUGUGAUGUUGCCCUGAAAGAGAGCAGAGAAUGGAACACAAAUAGAACACAGGAGAAUCCAUGUUUUAAAGGAAUCAUAAGAGAACAAAAAAAUGGUGACUGAUCAAACACCAAGAGUGCAUUUGUCAUAACAUGUAGGCACAAAAGACCAAUGAAAUAAGUCCUUCAGAGUUUACAACUUUCUCACAGUUUUAAUAUUACUAAAUAUUGGUCAGGUGGAUAGUGAAGGUAGAAGCCAUUUUGACAUGUCCAAGGUGCAACUGUUGCUGAAAAAGUCAUCCUACAAAAAUUGCUAAGAAUAUGUGUUUUGGAAGGAGAAGAAGGAACCAUUGAGGUGGCUAAUUUUCUGUUGAUGACACAAGCUAAAGUCAUUUGAGAAGAGGGAAUCACAACUGAGAAAUGUUACCAUCAGAUUGGCCAAUAGAUUUUCAGAGUCUGAAGAACAUACAGUCCAUUCAGCCCUCUCCACUGUUGCUGGAACUGGCAAGUCAGUUCACCUGAUGUUAGAGACCAUUUCAGUUUUCAUGCACCUGACUCAACCCCAGGCUAGAAGUGGAGAGCCACAGCAAUGACCAAUUUCAAGAGGGCAUUAACCCUCAGCAGUACCAGCAUCUUUGACUGCCAGUAUCUCCUGUCCCAUGGAAACCUCAAAAUUCCAUCAUCUCAGCUAGCUCCUGUAAGUCCUUCUCCUCUCGUUAUCGAUCCUGUGGGUUGUCCCCAUCAAACGUCCCCCUUCCUUCACCAUUCUGCAUACCUCCAUCUGCUUACCUCUGUUCAGGAGCACCAUAACUACCUCUUUGCGAACACGCAGGACCUCACUCCCUGCCACUUUAUGACGUUGUUGAAUUCACUUGCGCAAAAAAAUACAAAGAUGUGUAAAUCCGGGUUUACUUUGCACACACAUGCCUGCUGCAGAGUGACUCAAGACAGCAUACAGUUAAUGUAGCAUGCAAAUUUGAGUACAUGUUUAUUAAAUAAAUUAAUGGGCGAGAGGGCAAAAGGUACCCUAUUUAUUAUGUUUCACACUAGCAAGUUUUAAGUUAAAUACUUUGUUAAAUCAAAAAUUGAAAACCUUAAGACAAUAGAAUAGGAUGGAGGCUGGGAGAUAGUUCAGCUGAUAA
Non-coding RNA from Cricetulus griseus (Chinese hamster), 2170 nucleotides. The record is from RefSeq and is a predicted model, not a curated record. NCBI's taxonomy places the organism in Eukaryota, Metazoa, Chordata, Mammalia, Rodentia, Cricetidae.